GACGAACGCUGGCGGCGUGCUUAACACAUGCCAGUCGUACGGUAAGGCCCUUUCGGGGGUACACGAGUGGCGCACGGGUGAGUAACACGUGAGUAACCUGCCCACAACUUUGGGAUAACGCUAGGAAACUGGUGCUAAUACUGGAUAUGUGCUCCUGCUGCAUGGUGGGGGUUGGAAAGCUCCGGCGGUUGUGGAUGGACUCGCGGCCUAUCAGCUUGUUGGUGGGGUAGUGGCCUACCAAGGCGGCGACGGGUAGCCGGCCUGAGAGGGUGACCGGCCACAUUGGGACUGAGAUACGGCCCAGACCCCUCCGGGAGGAAGCAGGGGGGAAUUUUGCACAAGGGGCGCAAGCCUGAUGCAGCAACGCCGGGGGGGGGAUGACGGCCUUCGGGUUGUAAACCGUUUUCAGCGGGGAAGAAGUUUUUUGGGACGGGCCCUGCAGAAGAAGCACCGGCUAACUACGG
This 464-nucleotide ribosomal RNA is filed under the name uncultured bacterium. RNAcentral's name for it is "partial 16S ribosomal RNA". It matches the Rfam family "Bacterial small subunit ribosomal RNA", at positions 28 to 506 of the family's 1533-position model. The record is from RNAcentral.